Molecule: ribosomal RNA, 489 nt
Filed under: Vishniacozyma victoriae
Lineage: Eukaryota; Fungi; Basidiomycota; Tremellomycetes; Tremellales; Bulleribasidiaceae
Description: eukaryotic LSU rRNA
Rfam family: 5.8S ribosomal RNA (bases 128-281)
Source: RNAcentral
GCCUCNANGCAGUCAUUGGGUUAGAUCUGCUCUCUUUGCAAGAAGAGGGUUUCCAUACACACCGUGAACUGUUGGCUUCGGCCAUCACAAACUGUUAGUAAUGAAUGUAAUAUCAUAACAAAAACAAAACUUUUAACAACGGAUCUCUUGGCUCUCGCAUCGAUGAAGAACGCAGCGAAAUGCGAUAAGUAAUGUGAAUUGCAGAAUUCAGUGAAUCAUCGAAUCUUUGAACGCACCUUGCGCCCUUUGGUAUUCCGAAGGGCAUGCCUGUUUGAGUGUCAUGAAACCUCACCCCACUUGGGUUUUUGCCUGAGCGGUGGUGUAUUGGGUGUUGCCUUGCUAAAGGCUCGCCUUAAAGACAUAAGCACCUUGGAUGUAAUACGUUUCAUCCUUCUGGGUGGCUGAUAACCCCACAUAUUCAUGAUCUGGCCUCAAAUCAGGUAGGGCUACCCGCUGAACUUAAGCAUAUCAAUAGGCCGGGAGGAAGAC